AAAUGAGAAGUGAAUUAUCACAAUCAGCUUCGACCUGAUCAUUGGUAUAAAAUUAUACCCUUAUUCU
RNAcentral lists this transfer RNA (67 nucleotides) under Mekongiella xizangensis. RNAcentral describes it as "tRNA-Arg". The record is from RNAcentral. Lineage: Eukaryota; Metazoa; Arthropoda; Insecta; Orthoptera; Pyrgomorphidae.